Molecule: ribosomal RNA, 427 nt
Filed under: uncultured bacterium
Lineage: Bacteria
Description: partial 16S ribosomal RNA
Rfam family: Bacterial small subunit ribosomal RNA
Source: RNAcentral
UGGGGAAUAUUGGACAAUGGGCGAAAGCCUGAUCCAGCCAUGCCGCGUGUGUGAAGAAGGUCUUCGGAUUGUAAAGCACUUUAAGUUGGGAGGAAGGGCAUUAACCUAAUACGUUAGUGUUUUGACGUUACCGACAGAAUAAGCACCGGCUAACUCUGUGCCAGCAGCCGCGGUAAUACAGAGGGUGCAAGCGUUAAUCGGAAUUACUGGGCGUAAAGCGCGCGUAGUUGGUUUGUUAAGGUGGAUGUGAAAUCCCCGGGCUCAACCUGGGAACUGCAUUCAAAACUGACUGACUAGAGUAUGGUAGAGGGUGGUGGAAUUUCCUGUGUAGCGGUGAAAUGCGUAGAUAUAGGAAGGAACACCAGUGGCGAAGGCGACCUCCUGGACUAAUACUGACACUGAGGUGCGAAAGCGUGGGGAGCAAACA